AUCCAGAUGAUGAGUCCCAAAUAGGAUGAAACGCGCUUCCUGGAU
Molecule: non-coding RNA, 45 nt
Filed under: Schistosoma haematobium
Lineage: Eukaryota; Metazoa; Platyhelminthes; Trematoda; Strigeidida; Schistosomatidae
Source: RNAcentral